RNAcentral lists this ribosomal RNA (99 nucleotides) under uncultured bacterium. Its description in RNAcentral is "partial 16S ribosomal RNA". The record is from RNAcentral.
CACCGCCCGUCACAUCACGAAAGUGGGUUGUACCUAGACCGUCUGUGCCCUGACCCGCAAGGGAAGGAGCGGCCCAAGGUAUGACUCAUGAUUGGGGUG